Molecule: ribosomal RNA, 253 nt
Filed under: uncultured bacterium
Lineage: Bacteria
Description: partial 16S ribosomal RNA
Rfam family: Bacterial small subunit ribosomal RNA
Source: RNAcentral
GACAGAGGGUGCAAACGUUGCUCGGAUUUACUGGGCGUAAAGCGCGUGUAGGCGGGCGACUAAGUCGGAUGUGAAAUCCCUGGGCUCAACCUAGGAACUGCAUUCGAAACUGGUCACCCAGAGUGAUGGAGAGGAAAGCGGAAUUCCCGGUGUAGAGGUGAAAUUCGUAGAUAUUCGCAAGAACACCAGUGGCGAAGGCGGCUCACUGGCCCGAUACUGACGCUGAGGUGCGAAAGCGUGGGGAGCAAACAGG